UCCUCCUUACAGCGGCAGUUUGUUCCGAGUCCCCGACUUUACUCGCUGGUAACAGAACAUGAGGGUUGCGCUCGUUGCGGGACUUAACCCAACAUUUCACAACACGAGCUGACGACAGCCAUGCACCACCUGUGCACCACCCUCGAAGGCGGCACUAUUUCUAAUGCUUGCAGGUGCAUGUCAAGCCCUGGUAAGGUUCUUCGCGUUGCAUCGAAUUAAGCCACAUGCUCCACCGCUUGUGCGGGCCCCCGCCAAUUCCUUUGAGUUUCAACCUUGCGGCCGUAGUUCCCAGGCGGUUCACUUAAUGCGUUAGCUGCGGCACCGAGGUAAAACCCCGACACCUAGCACUCAUCGUUUACGGCGUGGACUAC
RNAcentral lists this unclassified non-coding RNA (371 nucleotides) under uncultured bacterium. RNAcentral describes it as "contains 16S-23S intergenic spacer region". The record is from RNAcentral.